UACGUAGGGGGCAAGCGUUGUCCGGAUUUAUUGGGCGUAAAGAGCUCGUAGGCGGUCUGUCGCGUCGGACGUGAAAACCCAGGGCUCAACCCUGGGCCGGCGUUCGAUACGGGCAGACUAGAGUUCGGUAGGGGAGACUGGAAUUCCUGGUGUAGCGGUGAAAUGCGCAGAUAUCAGGAGGAACACCGGUGGCGAAGGCGGGUCUCUGGGCCGGUACUGACGCUGAGACGCGAAAGCGUGGGGAGCGAACAGG
RNAcentral lists this ribosomal RNA (253 nucleotides) under uncultured bacterium. RNAcentral's name for it is "partial 16S ribosomal RNA". It matches the Rfam family "Bacterial small subunit ribosomal RNA", at positions 524 to 776 of the family's 1533-position model. The record is from RNAcentral.